UACAGAGGUCUCAAGCGUUGUUCGGAUUCCUUGGGCGUAAAGGGUGCGUAGGUGGCGCUGUAAGUCAGGUGUGAAAUUUCGAGGCUUAACCUCGAAACUGCAUUUGAUACUGCGGUGCUUGAGGACUGGAGAGGAGACUGGAAUUUACGGUGUAGCAGUGAAAUGCGUAGAGAUCGUAAGGAAGACCAGUGGCGAAGGCGGGUCUCUGGACAGUUCCUGACGCUGAGGCACGAAGGUCAGGGGAGCAAACGGG
RNAcentral lists this ribosomal RNA (253 nucleotides) under uncultured bacterium. RNAcentral's name for it is "partial 16S ribosomal RNA". It matches the Rfam family "Bacterial small subunit ribosomal RNA", at positions 524 to 776 of the family's 1533-position model. The record is from RNAcentral.